AACAACGACUCUGGAGAGUCUCAGUAAGAGCGCCGAAGGUGUACAGCAGUUUCAUCAGCUGCCAAUCUCUCAGGCAAAAGGACAGAGUAUACACA
This is a regulatory RNA element of Blautia sp., 95 nucleotides long. It matches the Rfam family "Glycine riboswitch aptamer". From Rfam's summary of the family: This family represents the bacterial glycine riboswitch. Glycine riboswitches usually consist of two metabolite-binding aptamers domains with similar structures in tandem. The record is from Rfam. NCBI's taxonomy places the organism in Bacteria, Bacillati, Bacillota, Clostridia, Lachnospirales, Lachnospiraceae.